GCCUCCUGUCAUGUGAUAAAAUUGUAGAUUAUGCUAACGUAGUGUACCUAUAAUCUUAAUUUUAAUAAUGACAGGAGGCGAGUAUUUUCCCUCCCUGUUUCCCUCCCUAUACUCUGGAAAUUUUUUAUAUUUUGGUUUGUCAUUUUCUCAGUGUAAAUUAUAAGGUUUUGGUAUUUCAGUAUAGUUAUGGGAUGCUUAUUUGGUUGAUAUGUGUUAGAUCCGUGUUGAUUAUUAAGUAUACUAUGGUUUGUUUAAUGUUUCAG
Molecule: non-coding RNA, 263 nt
Organism: Pelobates cultripes (western spadefoot toad)
Lineage: Eukaryota; Metazoa; Chordata; Amphibia; Anura; Pelobatidae
Source: the annotation of a GenBank genome assembly